AAAUUGAAGAGUUUGAUCAUGGCUCAGAUUGAACGCUGGCGGCAGGCCUAACACAUGCAAGUCGAACGGUAACAGGAAGCAGCUUGCUGCUUUGCUGACGAGUGGCGGACGGGUGAGUAAUGUCUGGGAAACUGCCUGAUGGAGGGGGAUAACUACUGGAAACGGUGGCUAAUACCGCAUAACGUCGCAAGACCAAAGAGGGGGACCUUCGGGCCUCUUGCCAUCAGAUGUGCCCAGAUGGGAUUAGCUUGUUGGUGAGGUAACGGCUCACCAAGGCGACGAUCCCUAGCUGGUCUGAGAGGAUGACCAGCCACACUGGAACUGAGACACGGUCCAGACUCCUACGGGAGGCAGCAGUGGGGAAUAUUGCACAAUGGGCGCAAGCCUGAUGCAGCCAUGCCGCGUGUAUGAAGAAGGCCUUCGGGUUGUAAAGUACUUUCAGCGGGGAGGAAGGUGUUGUGGUUAAUAACCGCAGCAAUUGACGUUACCCGCAGAAGAAGCACCGGCUAACUCCGUGCCAGCAGCCGCGGUAAUACGGAGGGUGCAAGCGUUAAUCGGAAUUACUGGGCGUAAAGCGCACGCAGGCGGUCUGUCAAGUCGGAUGUGAAAUCCCCGGGCUCAACCUGGGAACUGCAUUCGAAACUGGCAGGCUUGAGUCUUGUAGAGGGGGGUAGAAUUCCAGGUGUAGCGGUGAAAUGCGUAGAGAUCUGGAGGAAUACCGGUGGCGAAGGCGGCCCCCUGGACAAAGACUGACGCUCAGGUGCGAAAGCGUGGGGAGCAAACAGGAUUAGAUACCCUGGUAGUCCACGCCGUAAACGAUGUCUACUUGGAGGUUGUGCCCUUGAGGCGUGGCUUCCGGAGCUAACGCGUUAAGUAGACCGCCUGGGGAGUACGGCCGCAAGGUUAAAACUCAAAUGAAUUGACGGGGGCCCGCACAAGCGGUGGAGCAUGUGGUUUAAUUCGAUGCAACGCGAAGAACCUUACCUGGUCUUGACAUCCACAGAACUUUCCAGAGAUGGAUUGGUGCCUUCGGGAACUGUGAGACAGGUGCUGCAUGGCUGUCGUCAGCUCGUGUUGUGAAAUGUUGGGUUAAGUCCCGCAACGAGCGCAACCCUUAUCCUUUGUUGCCAGCGGUCCGGCCGGGAACUCAAAGGAGACUGCCAGUGAUAAACUGGAGGAAGGUGGGGAUGACGUCAAGUCAUCAUGGCCCUUACGACCAGGGCUACACACGUGCUACAAUGGCGCAUACAAAGAGAAGCGACCUCGCGAGAGCAAGCGGACCUCAUAAAGUGCGUCGUAGUCCGGAUUGGAGUCUGCAACUCGACUCCAUGAAGUCGGAAUCGCUAGUAAUCGUGGAUCAGAAUGCCACGGUGAAUACGUUCCCGGGCCUUGUACACACCGCCCGUCACACCAUGGGAGUGGGUUGCAAAAGAAGUAGGUAGCUUAACCUUCGGGAGGGCGCUUACCACUUUGUGAUUCAUGACUGGGGUGAAGUCGUAACAAGGUAACCGUAGGGGAACCUGCGGUUGGAUCACCUCCUUACCUUAAAGAAGC
Molecule: ribosomal RNA, 1554 nt
Filed under: Salmonella enterica
Lineage: Bacteria; Pseudomonadati; Pseudomonadota; Gammaproteobacteria; Enterobacterales; Enterobacteriaceae
Also listed under: 12 other names
Description: bacterial SSU rRNA
Rfam family: Bacterial small subunit ribosomal RNA
Source: RNAcentral